This 468-nucleotide ribosomal RNA is filed under the name uncultured bacterium. Its description in RNAcentral is "partial 16S ribosomal RNA". It matches the Rfam family "Bacterial small subunit ribosomal RNA", at positions 28 to 507 of the family's 1533-position model. The record is from RNAcentral.
AACGAACGCUGGCGGCGUGCUUAACACAUGCAAGUCGAACGGAAAGGCCCUGCUUUUGUGGGGUGCUCGAGUGGCGAACGGGUGAGCAGCACGUGGGUAACCUGUCAUUGACUUUGGGGUAACUUAAUGCAACUGGGGCUAAUACCGGCUAGGAGCUAUUGCUGCUUGGUGGGGGCUGGUAAGUUUCGGCGGUUGGGGAUGGACUAGCGGCUUAUCAGCUUGUUGGUUGGGUAGUGGCUGACCAAGGCUUUGACGGGUAGCCGGCCUGGGAGGGUGACCGGCCACAUUGGGACUGAGAUACGGCCCAGACUCCUACGGGAGGCAGCAGUGGGGAAUAUUGCACAAUGGGCGGAAGCCUGAUGCAGCAACGCCGCGUGCGGGAUGACGGCCUGCGGGUUGUAAACCGCUUUCGCCUGUGACGAAGCGUGAGUGACGGUAAUGGGUAAAGAAGCACCGGCUAACUACGUG